UGAGCCAUAUCCUUUUAAAUAUUUUAUUUACAGACAGAGCCUUGCUAAAUUGCUGAGGCUGACUUUGAACUCGUGAUCCUCCUGCCUCAGCCUCCUGAGCUGCUGGGAUUACAGGUGUGUGCCACCAUGCCCUGCUUAGUGUGUUCUCUUCAAAAAUGCAAGUGACAUGGGACUCCUACUUCAUCAUUGUCGACUCGGUGUGUAUACUGUCAGAUAUACAUUAAAAUACCCAAAACAUUAGGCUCAGCUGCACCCAUCUCCACAACUGGAAUGUACUGUAAUAAGCCAUCUUU
Molecule: long non-coding RNA, 293 nt
Filed under: Marmota monax (woodchuck)
Lineage: Eukaryota; Metazoa; Chordata; Mammalia; Rodentia; Sciuridae
Source: RNAcentral